GGCAAUAUGGCCGAGCGGUCUAAGGCGCCAGAAUCAGGAGCACUUCCCAUCUGGUCCUCCGGGGCGAGGGUUCGAAUCCCUCUGUUGUCA
This 90-nucleotide transfer RNA is filed under the name Crucibulum laeve. It matches the Rfam family "tRNA". From Rfam's summary of the family: Transfer RNA (tRNA) molecules are approximately 80 nucleotides in length. Their secondary structure includes four short double-helical elements and three loops (D, anti-codon, and T loops). The record is from Rfam by way of RNAcentral. Lineage: Eukaryota; Fungi; Basidiomycota; Agaricomycetes; Agaricales; Nidulariaceae.